This is a long non-coding RNA of Mauremys mutica (yellowpond turtle), 2520 nucleotides long. RefSeq lists it as uncharacterized. The record is from RefSeq and is a predicted model, not a curated record. The transcript is spliced from 3 exons. Lineage: Eukaryota; Metazoa; Chordata; Testudines; Geoemydidae.
GUCAAAAACAUAGCUUUUACGUUUUAAUAUUUUUAGCCACCAUAUUCAUAAAAUUAAUAUGGUAUCCGGAAAAUAAGUUCUGCCUCUGUAUGGAGGGCUGACUUGUUUAUGUGACAUACAUUUUCUGUUGCCUUAAAAGGGCUCUAUAAAGUAGGGAAAAGUUCAGAGUACCUUCUGUAGUACAGAAAGAAGGUGGAUCUUCUAUCCUGUUGUUCGGAGGUGUGUGUUUAAUCUUUUUUAGCAAGUUUUUUAUGACCAAUUUUUGUCUUCUAAUAAGCACUUGGCAAAUAUAUUAAGGUAGUUUUUGUUCUUUAUGCAGACUCCACUGAUUUUUCAGCACAUGCACCUUCCCUUAAAAAACUGAAAGACUUCUCUACACACACAUUUUAGGGAAAGUAGGGGUUUUGGUUGCUAGUUUCUACACUUAUUUCUAUCAUGGAUUAGCUAAUUGACUUUGGUCAAUUCACCCUUUCUGUGCUUUGGUUUCUCCAUCUGUAAGGUUAAUAAUACUUAGUACUUUUCACAAAGGAUGAGGGUUAAUAAAGUAAAGUUUAUAAAAUGCUCAGAGAUUCUUGGGUGUUUAAAAUGAGCUAUUAUUAUUUAAGAGGAAGAAUACCAGCUUUACAACUGAUCCAGCAAUCAAAUCUCCCAUUGAAUGGAGGAUCUCAUCUAAAAUAAACCAAACCCAAGAAUUCCCCAGGUGUCCAGGUUUCCAGUGUGACGUCUGUGAUGUGAAAGCAAGAGCCGAAUCACACAUCUAUAUUUAACAGCAUGAGGAAUACUCCCAUUUCCUUUGUAACAGUUUUUUGGUAUCUUGACAAAUCUUAUCUGCAAAGGUAUUUUUCCCUUUUUGAUGUCAGAGUGAAAGGAAACCCCCGUCUCCCACAGUGAGGCCUCCCACAAUAUGUAAAAUAAUUAGUACUUGUACCUUUUCCUAUAUGAGAAAAAUUUCCCUUUAUCAUACACAGCUAAUUUAAUAUGCAAGGUGUAGGUGAGUAUAUAUAAACAGGUUCUGAUGUCAAAAAUGCAUGAAUCAAAUAUAAGCUUUCCUAGAAGUGAAAAUGCUGUUUCUCAGUUUGUUCUUGUUGAGUUGUUGCCUAUCACUCUCUGCGGCCAAUGAGAUAGAAGAAUUUAAAGAAAACUUGGAAGCUUUUCUGAAUCUGACAAAAAAACAGGUGGGCCAUUAAGUUUCCCCCUCCAUUUUCUUUUGCUUUUUUGCAUUGUAGCAUAAAGUUGGUGUUCGCGGCUUUCAACUCUGGUUUACAGAUAUGGUUUCUUGUUUAUUACAAUUGAAUGUUCAAGGUAGUGUGUGCUGAACCCUUUUCUGAAGUCUAUGCAGCAAUUGCUUCCCCAAAGGAAGUUCAGAAAUAGAAAUGUAGAUGAAGAUGAUAUGAAGCUAGAGAUAAUGAACAAUGGCAAUGUACAUGUAAAAGUAUCUGUUUACAAUAUUCCUUUUUUUAAAUUUUAGAUCUUUCUUCCAAUACUAAAGAAUUAUGAGUGCAAAUGUGUUCAUGAUUACCUCAGUAAUACUGAGAAACAUCUGGAAAAAUUAACAGAAAAAUUUAACGAUGAGCCAAAGGCGAAGGAACGUCUUCAUAAGAUGCGAUUCAAUAUGAAGCAGCUGAUGCAUAGAUUAGAGAAAGGAGAUAAAGUAAAUCCAUCUAAAAGCUGUGUGAAAACAGAAGCAGGACUGAUGAAGGCAUUGCACUUCUAUAAAAGGUUCUUUGAAAGACUGAAUGAAUUUAAUUGCAUUAAAUCACAAUGAACUGAGAUGAGCAACACAUUCUAGUUGGAUGUAUGUUUUAGGUAACACAUGAUUAAGUAUUAAGAAAAUAUUGCAAAAUUACCAUGGAAAUACAUAAAAACACACACAACGUUAAUGUGAAUAUCUAAAACAUACCAAAUGUUUGUAACUUAAAUGUAUAGUGCAUUUAUUUAUGUAUUUAUUUAUUUAUUUUAUUAUUUUAGAGGGUGCCUUUAUAUUUAUAUAAAGCCAGAGCAUUCAAACUAUGUUACAGACUGAAAGGGGCAACUAAAAUAAUGAAAUCCAUCUUAUUCUUUCCUGAGGUACUAUAGUAUUUAGUAUCUUUUUAAAUGGUCAAAAUUAAAUCCUGUAAAUGAAAAUUAUUUAAAAUUCAUAUUAGAUGGUCGAAUUUAGAGUUCUGUCUGUUGACAUCUUUGAAAACAGAUAAUAAAAACUGGCCUCAACUCAUGAAAGCACUUCAGAAAAUACUUACCUUUAACUCCCAUUGAUGUCAAUGUACUUUCCUGAAUAAGAGCCCAACUGCAUUUCUAUGGCACCCAGUAGGGCUCAUUAUAUUUAUUGUAUCAAUGUCAUAGCACAGUGGUUUUCAACCUUUUUUCAUUUGAGGAUCCCUACAAAAUUUCAAAUUGAGGAGUAGACCCCUUUGGAAAUCUUAGACCCCAGGUUGAAAACCACUGUUACCAUAUAUUUAUGUCAACAAUUGUAUUAUGUCCAACAUAUUUAUUGUAGAAACAGAAUGUAUAUAUUUUAUUUAA